This 253-nucleotide ribosomal RNA is filed under the name uncultured bacterium. Its description in RNAcentral is "partial 16S ribosomal RNA". It matches the Rfam family "Bacterial small subunit ribosomal RNA", at positions 524 to 776 of the family's 1533-position model. RNAcentral also lists the same sequence under 1 other name. The record is from RNAcentral.
GACGGAGGGUGCUAGCGUUGUUCGGAUUUACUGGGCGUAAAGGGCGCGUAGGCGGCCUUCUCAGUCGGGUGUGAAAGCCCGGGGCUCAACCCCGGAACGGCACCCGAGACGGGUUGGCUGGAGACCGGGAGAGGAGGGUGGAAUAGCCAGUGUAGAGGUGAAAUUCGUAGAUAUUGGCUGGAACACCGGUGGCGAAAGCGGCUCUCUGGCCCGGUUCUGACGCUGAGGCGCGAAAGCGUGGGGAGCAAACAGG